CCCUUAGAUGUUCGGAGCUGCACGCGCGCUACACUGUUCGACGCAGCGAGUCUUAACCUUGACCGAAAGGUUUGGGUAAUCUUCAGCAAAGUCGAACGUGAUGGGGAUCGAUCAUUGCAAUUAUUGAUCGUGAACGAGGAAUUCCUAGUAAGUGCAAGUCAUCAGCUUGCGCUGAUUACGUCCCUGCCCUUUGUACACACCGCCCGUCGCUACUACCGAUUGAAUGGUUUAGUGAGAUCUCUGGAUUGACGCUGGCUAGGGGGCGACCCUUGGCCAGGCUGUCGAGAAACUGCUCAAACUUGAUCAUUUAGAGGAAGUAAAAGUCGUAACA
This 331-nucleotide ribosomal RNA is filed under the name uncultured eukaryote. RNAcentral describes it as "partial 18S ribosomal RNA". It matches the Rfam family "Eukaryotic small subunit ribosomal RNA", at positions 1470 to 1796 of the family's 1831-position model. The record is from RNAcentral.